This 445-nucleotide ribosomal RNA is filed under the name uncultured eukaryote. RNAcentral's name for it is "bacterial SSU rRNA". It matches the Rfam family "Eukaryotic small subunit ribosomal RNA", at positions 592 to 1074 of the family's 1831-position model. The record is from RNAcentral.
CAAUAGCGUAUAUUUAAGUUGUUGCAGUUAAAAGCUCGUAGUUGGAUUUUGGUUAAGAGGGCGCGGUCGGCCGUUUGGUCUGUACUGCGUUGUCUUGACUUCCUGAUGAGGACAUGCUCUUGGUUAACGCUGAGACAUGGAGUCAUCGUGGUUACUUUGAAAAAUUAGAGUGUUCAAAGCGGGCUUACGCUUGAAUAUAUUAGCAUGGAAUAACACUAUAGGACUCCUGUCCUAUCUCGUUGGUCUCGGGAUGGGAGUAAUGAUUAAGAGGAACAGUUGGGGCAUUCGUAUUUCAUUGUCAGAGGUGAAAUUCUUGGAUUUAUGAAAGACGAACUUCUGCGAAAGCAUUUGCCAAGGAUGUUUUCAUUAAUCAAGAACGAAAGUUGGGGGCGGUCUGAACGAAAGCAGCAUGCAAGUCAAUGAAUACCCCAAUUCCUUGGAAGGA